RNAcentral lists this transfer RNA (74 nucleotides) under Thermoflexales bacterium. Its description in RNAcentral is "tRNA-Arg". It matches the Rfam family "tRNA". From Rfam's summary of the family: Transfer RNA (tRNA) molecules are approximately 80 nucleotides in length. Their secondary structure includes four short double-helical elements and three loops (D, anti-codon, and T loops). The record is from RNAcentral. RNAcentral also lists the same sequence under 1 other name. Lineage: Bacteria; Bacillati; Chloroflexota; Thermoflexia; Thermoflexales.
GCCCGAGUAGUUCAAAUGGAUAGAACAACGCUCUCCUAAGGCGUGUGUUGUGGGUUCAAGUCCUGCCUCGGGCA